AGCAAUGUAUUGUAAAAUAAUCUCAAAUUUGCUUGCUUUUGUUUUCAAGUUUUGGAUAAGUUUGACAGAUAGUUGUUGUUGUUGUUGUUUGCAACUAACCUAAUUCUGCAAUGAAAAUUAAACCUUAAAUAUACCAAAAUUUGAAAACCAAAUGAAACAUUUAUGAUCACUAAUGACAGUUCUAAGUAAAAUGAGUUGUUCAAGCACUUUUUUUUUUUUUUUUGGAUCUUAACCACGAGGUAUCUUGGGGAGAGCCUCAACUGUAGGAGGCACAUUUAAGCAUGUACCACAACCCAGAUUAGAAGUCUCCGCUCGAAUCGGAAGGCAUAUGUUCUCCCAACAAAGGCGACUUCCCUACGACUCGAAUUGGAAAGCAAGCUCAGUCAAGCCACUUAAGGGGAUUUCAUUACAAGUGGAGCCAACAGGUUCAAGCACUUUAAUUAAUACAUAAUUAUACAGGGAGUUUAUUAUGCAUUAACAGCCAGUUUUAGUUCCCUAACUAUAAGUUAGCAUUUAAUGCAUUGUAGUUUCACUCUCUCUUUCUUCAGCGACGCGACAGAAUUUAUGCGGAUAAUAGAAUCGGAGAACCGAUUACCGGGCAGGUCAUAUCAUGCCAUCGCUCUGCAAAACGAAGUUAAUGUAUAUAAAAUGAUCGAAAGCUUUUGUACUGUUUCUGCAUGAAAUUGUUAAGAGUAUAAUAAAUACUAUUGUUGAGCCGUUACCUAUAAGCUUAAGCUUUUGGUUGAGGUAGAGACUUUUGUCAUCACUAGAAACAAUUGUCUUUUGCCAACUUUAUCUGACUAAUUUCUGAGAAAGCAUUUUACCAACUUCAGUUCUAACUGUCUAAAUAAGCAACAUUUUCUUCCUCUCUUAGCAACUCCUGCAGAAUAGACAAAAAAGCCAUUUUAUCUUCCUUUUUAGUAAUUCCUGCAGUAUAGACAAAAAGCCAGUGUGUUAAUUAAAAGCCAGUGUAAUUCCUGCCACCUAUUCUUUAGCUUGUCAGCUAUAAAUAGCUGUGAUUGCUGCAUAAAUUUGACCGUUCAGUGUUCUUGAGUUGUUGAAGCCAUUGUAUUCGGGUACUUGAAGCUUUUCUUUGUGUUUGAUUUAAUUUUUGUUCUACUGAUGUAUAUUAUUUCAAGUUACUAGUUUAUAAUUUUCUUCCCAGGCUUACUCAUAUGAUUCAUGUAAUUUCUUGGUACCUUAUACCCUUCUUGAAUCCAAGUUUGGAAUUCUUUGAUCGGUUUCUUCAAAUACUGAAUUCACUUCCCCACUUUAUGCUUAUUAAUCUUUUGACUUCUAACACUCUUUAACUCUUUUUUCAGCUGAGGGAAAUAUGGGAUCAGAGAAGUGUGCCAUUGCAAACGAUAUAACCGAAGUAAAAUGCCUUCAUCUAAUUCUGAUUUUUCAUUUUUUCCUUUCAUAUGCUCUGAGAUUUUCUCAUUUUGUUGCAUAUUUUAUUAUCAGUUGAUUGGCAAUACCCCAAUGGUUUACCUCAACAAUAUUGUGGAUGGUUGCAAGGCACGUAUUGCUGCUAAGCUAGAGAUGAUGGAACCCUGUUCUAGUGUCAAAGACAGGUAAUACUUGAAACCUAUCCUUAAUCUUCUGUUGAUCUUUCUUUUUGGCACAUCUUAGUAGUAAUUGAUAUUGAAUAUUAUCUUUGUACUAAUUUUCAUUUUUGUUAUUUCUCCAAAUUUUUUGGGUUCACUUCAUACAAGUUGGCUUCAAUCACUGAUAUGCAGGAUUGCAUUUAGUAUGAUCAAAGAUGCUGAAGAGAAGGGCCUUAUCACACCAGGGAAGGUUGUUAACUUUCCUUUUUUCUUCUAUCAAGAAAAUAUCAACAUAAGUCUCUUUAAGAGUUAUUGUGAUUUGUAAGCAUACUGGAAUGAAAAUGAACUGGGAAGUAGUUUUGGGAUUAAUCAAUUUUCCACGUGAAUGAAUAAAGACUGUCCUCAUUGAAUGUACAAGUGGAAAUACCGGCAUAGGGAUGGCAUGCUUUGCAGCAGCUAAGGGUUACAAGCUCAUUCUUGUCAUGCCUGCUUUCAUGAGCCUUGAGAAGAGAAUAAUUCUCCAAGCAUAUGGAGCUCAGUUGAUUCUCACAAAUGCAGAGAUGGGUAUUGAUGAGGAAUUUCGUAUUGUUGAAGAGUUACUGAAUAAGAUACCUACCAGUUUUAAUCCCCACCAAUUCAAAAAUCCUGCCAAUCCAAAGGUAUGUAUGCUUUGCUUGGCCAUAAGGCUACUGAUAAAAUAUACUAAUCAGCGGUUUAUGCAGACUCAUUAUGAAACUACUGGCCCGGAAAUCUGGGAAGGCACAAGAGGGCAAGUUGAUAUUUUUGUUUCUGGAAUAGGGACUGGGGGUACAGUAUCUGGUGUUGGCAAUUUCCUUAAAAAGAAAAAUCCGGAGAUCAAGGUAGUAUUAUUUAUGCUUGAGUUUUGAAAUAGUUGAAUUACCUUUUCUUGUGUAAGCAACUGUUCCUGAUUUUUAGUUCUUUCUUUUUGUUUUGAUUUUUGUUCUGCCUUAAGGUUUAUGGCGUUGAACCGGCUGAAAGUGCAAUUCUGAAUGGUGGAAAGGCUGGUGAGUUCUGAAAACUCAUUUCAUUCAAUUUUUUGGAAAUGUUAUAUUGCACUAUUGCAGCAUCAAUAAUAUGCUAAGGUCUUGGUCUUCCUGUAUGCAUGGCAGCAUCAAUGUGCCGCAGCAACUUCAGUUCAAAACUGAUUUUAACAUACUGUAAUGUGGUUAUAGGUCAUCAUAAGAUUCAAGGAAUCGGCAUUGGGUUUGUCCCCAGUGUUUUAGAUGUCAGCAUUCUUGAUGAAGUUGUUCGAGUAAGCUUCCGAACCCUUGUAAAUUGACUUGCUCGUUAAGAAAAGUACAUUUGGAAGAAUAAGUGUUUGUUCACAUAUAGUAAUUCUGAUUCUGAUAAAAAAUUUCCCAUUUCUGACAUAAUAACAGCAUUGUGCCCGCCCAUUUUCUUCUAUGUAUUUUUUCAUGCUUUUUUCUACUUAGCCUUUCAGACUGAUAAUCUUUCAUAUCUUUAAGGUAACAAGCAAUGAAGCCAUUCAAACAGCUAAGCUUCUUGGUGCAAAAGAAGGUUUGCUGGUAUGUGCAAUCUUCCAGGCAUUUCUAGUACUUUCUCCCUCUGUAAAAUCACCAUUAGGAAAAAAUUGAGGAAAUAAAUUACUUUCCGAGUACGUAAGCUUAAAUAUAUGUUCUGCUGUGACAUAGGCUUAUGAUGGCAUCUAAUUGUUGAUGAUGUUUGUGUUUAUAAAUAUUGCAGGUAGGGAUAUCAUCUGGUGCUGCAGCAGCUGCUGCAAUUAAGAUAGCCAAAAGGGCUGAAAAUGCUGGAAAACUCAUUGUCGUAAGCUCAUUCAAAUUCUUUGAGCUGGUUGCAUUCAUUUUCAUUUCAUAUUGCCUACUUAACAUGUUUGACAUGUUCAUUUGGACAGCCACUGAAUUUGACGCAUAGAAAGCAUAAAUUUAGCUGUUAUAUAAUCCUUAUAUCAACUAACAUUUUCUUAAUCAACUUUGCAACAUGAUUUAACAAGCCCUUAUCAUGCCACUCCAAACUUCAGCAUUGUUGAGAUAAACAUCAUUGACUCAGUUCAACAACUGCUUCUCUCAAUCAUUGCAGGUGAUCUUUCCGAGCUCAGGAGAGCGGUAUCUGUCAUCUGAGAUGUUUGAUGCUGAGAGGCAGGCAGCUGAAAACAUGGCUUAUGUCUCAAAUAUUGCCUAAUGUUUGAGUUUCAGACCUCAAGUGGAACCAAUAUGCUCUCAAAAUAAAGUUAUGCUCCUGAGUUGUAAUAGUAGUUGCAGUGAAAAAGAGGAUGUGUUUGCUUCUGCUUUUGUAAUUCUAAUGCACAAUUGACAAUUUGGUUGGUUCCAUUUAAUGUGAUGCAUUUCUUGAACUAUUUUAAUCAAAUCAGUAAAUUUGACCGAUAGCUACAGCUUGCUAAUUUUCAGUACCAUCAAACAUAUUUUAAAAUAAUUAAAGACACUUUUAUACUGGUUUUGUAGUGUUUACAAGACAAGAAAAAUAAAAAAGAUUUUACCAGGUCCAAAAAACCACCUGCAGUUAUUGUAGAAAAGCACUUUUUUUAGUAUAAAAAUACUUGGAAGUGCUUUCCAAAAAAGGAUCACAUGUUUCACAAAAAAAUGCUUCUGCAGAAGUGUUUUUGUUUAACUUGAAAAAGCCUAUUGAUACAAGCAUUCGCAGACAUACCACGGCUGGGAUUUAAAAUGGGCCUGGGUCGGAUUGGCAACUCCAAGGACGGGCUCAACUUUGGCGGACGGGGCCGAGCCUGAGCCCACAAAACUGCUUCCUCUCCAUCACACGUGGCACGGCAAGUGACAAAUUUCUCUCACAACAGAUCUCCCUCUCGCCCGCACAGGGCUCAACAUUCCAUUUCCAUUUCCGUUUCUUACCCAAACACGCACGGAUCUAAGAGAGCUUCGGAAUAUGGCUUUAAUGGCCGUAUUAGAAUCCGAUCUUCGAGCUCUCUCAGCUGAAGCUCGCCGUCGCUAUCCCGCCGUCAAGGACGGAGCUGAGCACGCGAUCUUGAAGGUCGCAAUUCUCACUUGUUUUGUGAUGUAGCCCAGUUUACCACGCCCACAAAUCACAAUCUUGACUGACUGUGCCCAUUGUAGGUAGUUUCUACCAUUUAAUUUGUGGGCUGUAAUAUGAAGAGAUGCAUCGCUUCCGGAAAGAGAAGCAAUUGGGAUGGAACUAGGCUCAGCCAUAGAUUGGCUAGAUGUUGAAGAUCCGGUAUUGUCACCAGAUGAGAUGUCGAGAGAGCGUUAUCUAUCCACAGCAUUGUUUGAAUCCAUUAGAAAUGAAGUGCAAAAUAUGUCCAUUGAUUAAGACGUCACAAAGUUUAGGAAGCAGCUGCCUGAAUUUAGGACAAACAUCCCUGUAUUUUCCACACGAGCCAGCCUAUGUUCGCCUAUCCAUUAUCCGACCGUAUUUUAGUUCUUCUGAAGUUGUGACGGUUAGAUUCUAGAGAAUGGAACUAAGCCUUCAACAGAAGAAGAUUCAAUGUAUUCUGUAUGUACAAUUGCAAUUUAGAUAAUCAAUCUGUUAAUGAAGCAAUGUAUUGUAAAAUAAUCUCAAAUUUGCUUGCUUUUGUUUUCAAGUUUUGGAUAAGUUUGACAGAUAGUUGUUGUUGUUGUUGUUUGCAACUAACCUAAUUCUGCAAUGAAAAUUAAACCUUAAAUAUACCAAAAUUUGAAAACCAAAUGAAACAUUUAUGAUCACUAAUGACAGUUCUAAGUAAAAUGAGUUGUUCAAGCACUUUUUUUUUUUUUUUUGGAUCUUAACCACGAGGUAUCUUGGGGAGAGCCUCAACUGUAGGAGGCACAUUUAAGCAUGUACC
This 5364-nucleotide long non-coding RNA is filed under the name Citrus sinensis (sweet orange). Its description in RNAcentral is "long non-coding RNA (CSIN_LNC001307)". The record is from RNAcentral. Lineage: Eukaryota; Viridiplantae; Streptophyta; Magnoliopsida; Sapindales; Rutaceae.